This 1226-nucleotide unclassified non-coding RNA is filed under the name Hevea brasiliensis (rubber tree). Lineage: Eukaryota; Viridiplantae; Streptophyta; Magnoliopsida; Malpighiales; Euphorbiaceae. The record is from RNAcentral.
UAGCAGCUUCUGACUGGUGAGUAGCGAUGUGCCAAUUUAUCCCAAAUUAGACAUGCCAUUCUUCAGUAAAAAUCUUUUUUUCUCUGCUGUAAGGCGGAAGAAAGAGAAGGACUGUUAUUUGAAGAACGGAAGUUGUGUGCUUCAGGAGCUUCUUGCUUUAUGCGACGGAAAUUGCAGAGUUCCCAUCCGUUACUUCUCUGCCAUAGAGAUCAAUAAUGCAAUAAAAAACUCUCAAACCAAAAUGGAACUUGCUGAUGUGUCUAUGGUUACGGGAUUACUAGGCAACCGCCCUGUAUUAGUUAGGUUCAAUAAAUGGACCUACAAUAUCCAUCGAGAUAUAGCGAUUACUGCUCAGAUGAGUCAUCUGAAGAAUGUGCUGAGACUAAUCGGUUGCUGUCUAGAGUUUGAAGAGCCAGUUAUCGUGUAUGAAUAUGUUAAAGGUAUAUCUCUUAGCGAUCUACUUUUCAAAAAGGGUAAUCUUAAUAGAAAAUCGUCCUUGUCUUGGGGAAGUAGAUUACGAGUUGCACGUGAUGUCGCUUCUGCAGUCGUUUUCCUCCAUACUGAAUUUACUACGCCAAUCAUCCACAGAAAUAUAAAGUCAUCUAAAGUGAUAAUUGAUGAGAUCUGCGGUGUUGCCAAAAUAGUAGACUUCUCGCUCUCCAUAUCACUGCCUCCAGGGGAAUUGGAGGUACAAGAUCAGGCGUGUGGAACAAUGGGGUAUGUAGCUCCAGAAAAUUUAGCCUCAGGUAUUAGUACUCAAAAAACUGAUGUCUACAGCUUUGGGAUUCUUCUCUUACUGAUAUUAACCGGAAAGGACGUGUACGAUAUUAUUGACAGAGUGGAUUCUAUAAAACCAGAAGAGAAAAUACAUUUUGGAGAAGACUCGGGUAAUUCUACGAAUUCAAAAGAGACAAUAGUAGAUUUUAAAAAUCUUCCAACCUCUUACGUCCUUCUCGAUCACUAUAUUAAAGAGGCUAAUGUAAUGGAUAUAACGGACCCUAUCAUUUUAGAAGAGCAUGGUAUUGAUAUUCAACAACAGUUGGAAGACUACUUGGAUCUUGUUAAAAAAUGCACAGCUUUGAAGGGAGAUAAUAGACCCUACAUGAUUCAUGUCGCAAGGGAAUUGUGUCGAAUGGAAAAGUCUUUUCGUGCCCUCGCUCUUGGUCAGAAUUAACUGUUUAGAGGUAUUCGUAUUAGGUUCCGAUUUCAAGGAAAUUCAAUUUGUU